Long non-coding RNA from Galleria mellonella (greater wax moth), 1244 nucleotides. RefSeq lists it as uncharacterized. The transcript is spliced from 2 exons. NCBI's taxonomy places the organism in Eukaryota, Metazoa, Arthropoda, Insecta, Lepidoptera, Pyralidae. The record is from RefSeq and is a predicted model, not a curated record.
CUAAAAAAACAGAUAGAACAUAUUCAUCGUUAUUCAAAGCAGUACUAAGGUCGACAUAGAAGUUCGCUAAACUUUCGCGCGCUGAAUAUCCACGGCGAAAACCAAAUUGAUUCGAUGGUAAUAUACUAUUACUUUCAAUAAAGAACUCUAAACGCUGUUUAAUUAAUUGUUCGAAUAAUUUGCCUGCACAGGACGUCAAUGUUAUAGGUCUAUAGGAGUCGAAAUUUGUAGGAUCUUUACCGGGUUUAAUUACUGGAAUCAAACAAUCCAUUUUCCAUUCUGGUGGGAUAAUACAGUCCUUCCAUAAAUCGUUAAAAAUUUGUAAGAGUUUAGUAAGGUUUAUUUUAUUCAGCAAUCGAAACAUAUUGUAUGUUAAGCGAUCAAGGCCACUAGCUGUAUCUUUUCUAGAUUUUACUGCACUGGAUAUUUCAUCAAUUGAGAAUGGGUCAGUGAGAAAUUUUGGGCAUGAAUUAACAGAAUUAAACUGUUUGUCAUCAAAAGGUGAGUGUACAAAAUCAGGAGUAUAUUUGCGUAAAAAAUCAUUGACCCAUGAUAUAUCUUUAAAAUGAUUUUGACGAUGUUUUGAAUUUAGUUUUCUCAUAUUUUGCCAAACAGUGGAAAUUGGUGUUAAUCUAUUAAAUUUGGAACAAAAUUCCUGCCACCCCUGUUGUCUUACUUGCUUAAUUACUAACUUUUUAACAGCUUGAACUCUUUUAAAAUUUAUGUAAUUAUCGAGAGUUGGAUUUUGUUUAAACCUAAGGUAAGCCGCUUUACUAUCAUUGACAGCUGUCGCACACCUGUUAUUCCACCAAGGUACUGCAAUAUGUUUGUGCCUCUUUGAAGUAUUUGCACCGCUAUUUGAUAAGUUCCUACGUGGAACGGAACGUUCCACAGCUGUCAAAAUAAUUUUACAGAACCUAUUGUAAUUGUUUAAGGGUUCAUUGACAUCAUACUCGAAAUCCAAAAGUAAUUGAUUAACAGUUUCAGAAUAAAGAUCCCAAUUAACGAGACAUGCUGCAACGCUCAGAAUUCUUACAGAAUUUAGCUAAAUGUCCAUACCUCAAGCACCGGUAGCAUUGUUUAACUGGUGGUAUAUAUGGAGUGACAUUGUGGCGCCAACCUCCAAUAUCCAGAUAUUCAGGUAAUACAGAUGCAGCAAAAGUAAUUGUCACGGUUAGAGUUGGCUGUAACACAUAUCCAUGAGUCAAGGUAUUUUUUCUUAAAAUUCUUUUAAUAGCAAUAAU